AUUGAACGCUGGCGGCAGGCCUAACACAUGCAAGUCGAGCGGAAACGAGUUAUCUAAACCUUUCGGGGAACGAUAACGGCGUCGAGCGGCGGACGGGUGAGUAAUGCCUAGGAAAUUGCCCUGAUGUGGGGGAUAACCAUUGGAAACGAUGGCUAAUACCGCAUGAUGCCUACGGGCCAAAGAGGGGGACCUUCGGGCCUCUCGCGUCAGGAUAUGCCUAGGUGGGAUUAGCUAGUUGGUGAGGUAAGGGCUCACCAAGGCAACGAUCCCUAGCUGGUCUGAGAGGAUGAUCAGCCACACUGGAACUGAGACACGGUCCAGACUCCUACGGGAGGCAGCAGUGGGGAAUAUUGCACAAUGGGCGCAAGCCUGAUGCAGCCAUGCCGCGUGUGUGAAGAAGGCCUUCGGGUUGUAAAGCACUUUCAGUCGUGAGGAAGGUAGUGUGUUUAAUAGAUGCAUUAUUUGACGUUAGCGACAGAAGAAGCACCGGCUAACUCCGUGCCAGCAGCCGCGGUAAUACGGAGGGUGCGAGCGUUAAUCGGAAUUACUGGGCGUAAAGCGCAUGCAGGUGGUUUGUUAAGUCAGAUGUGAAAGCCCGGGGCUCAACCUCGGAAUAGCAUUUGAAACUGGCAGACUAGAGUACUGUAGAGGGGGGUAGAAUUUCAGGUGUAGCGGUGAAAUGCGUAGAGAUCUGAAGGAAUACCGGUGGCGAAGGCGGCCCCCUGGACAGAUACUGACACUCAGAUGCGAAAGCGUGGGGAGCAAACAGG
This 770-nucleotide ribosomal RNA is filed under the name uncultured Pseudoalteromonadaceae bacterium. RNAcentral's name for it is "bacterial SSU rRNA". It matches the Rfam family "Bacterial small subunit ribosomal RNA", at positions 28 to 776 of the family's 1533-position model. The record is from RNAcentral. Lineage: Bacteria; Pseudomonadati; Pseudomonadota; Gammaproteobacteria; Alteromonadales; Pseudoalteromonadaceae.